AUUGAACGCUGGCGGCAUGCCUUACACAUGCAAGUCGAACGGUAACGCGGGGGCAACCCUGGCGACGAGUGGCGAACGGGUGAGUAAUACAUCGGAACGUACCCAGUAGUGGGGGAUAGCUCGGCGAAAGCCGGAUUAAUACCGCAUACGACCUAUGGGUGAAAGCGGGGGAUCGCAAGACCUCGCGCUAUUGGAGCGGCCGAUGUCGGAUUAGCUAGUUGGUGAGGUAAAAGCNCACCAAGGCUACGAUCCGUAGCUGGUCUGAGAGGACGACCAGCCACACUGGGACUGAGACACGGCCCAGACUCCUACGGGAGGCAGCAGGUGGGGAAUUUUGGACAAGUGGGCGAAAGCCUGAUCCAGCCAUGCCGCGUGUGUG
This 379-nucleotide ribosomal RNA is filed under the name uncultured bacterium. Its description in RNAcentral is "bacterial SSU rRNA". It matches the Rfam family "Bacterial small subunit ribosomal RNA", at positions 29 to 407 of the family's 1533-position model. The record is from RNAcentral.